AUGCGAGUCGUGAGUCCUAGGGACUCGGCGUACCGCUCAGUAACACGUGGGUAACCUGCCCUAUGCUGGGGAAUAACCUCGGGAAACUGAGAAUAAUGCCCCAUAGUUCACCACACCUGGAACGGAGGGUGGAUGAAAGCUCCGGCGGCAUAGGAUGGGCCUGCGGCGUAUCAGGUUGUAGGGGGUGUAAUGUACCCUCUAGCCAUCUACGCGUACGGGUGUUGAGAGACAUCGCCCGGAGAUGGAUUCUGAGACACGAAUCCAGACCCUACGGGGUGCAGCAGGCGCGAAAACUUGGCAAUGCGAGCAAUCGUGACCAGGGAACUCCAAGUGCAUCGGGUAAGACCGAUGCUUUUCUUGACUCUUCAAAGGUCUUGGAAUAAGGGGUGGGUAAGGACGGUGCCAGCCGCCGCGGUAAUACCGGCGCCUCAAGUGGUAGUCGCUUUUAUUGGGCCUAAAACGUCCGUAGCCGGUUUGGUACAUUCGUGGGUAAAUCAAGG
Molecule: ribosomal RNA, 500 nt
Filed under: uncultured Methanimicrococcus sp.
Lineage: Archaea; Methanobacteriati; Methanobacteriota; Methanomicrobia; Methanosarcinales; Methanosarcinaceae
Description: bacterial SSU rRNA
Rfam family: Archaeal small subunit ribosomal RNA
Source: RNAcentral